This 119-nucleotide ribosomal RNA is filed under the name Olea europaea subsp. europaea. The record is from RNAcentral. Lineage: Eukaryota; Viridiplantae; Streptophyta; Magnoliopsida; Lamiales; Oleaceae.
ACCAACGACUGCGCUACGUUGAAUACACCAGUUCUCCUCUGAUCACUGAAGUUAAGCGACGUCGGCCGUGGUUAGUACUUGGAUGGGUGACCGUCUGGGAGAUCACGUGUUUGUUGGUU